Suricata suricatta (meerkat) is the source of this 299-nucleotide long non-coding RNA. RefSeq lists it as uncharacterized. NCBI's taxonomy places the organism in Eukaryota, Metazoa, Chordata, Mammalia, Carnivora, Herpestidae. The record is from RefSeq and is a predicted model, not a curated record. The transcript is spliced from 3 exons.
CUGGUGAUGGCUGGAGAACACUCUGGAGGCCCAAAAAGCCAUCUGUCAUGUGAGCUCAACAGCAAGCUAACCCCACCUGAUGGGUUGGAGCUAACGGCAACAGAGGGCUGCCAAGCCUCCAGCCCCCUGGGAAGAAGCAUGCAUUGUCUCUCAAGAGAACCGUGUGAGAAAGAUGGAGGGCCCCCAGAAGCCUAUACGAUCCGUGGGUCAUGGGUGCAGUUAUCCAGAUGAAAAGAUCAAGCUGGAAAAGACUGCUUUCUCUACCAACUGAGGACUUUGUGCCAAACCAAGAAAAUGAG